This 270-nucleotide ribosomal RNA is filed under the name uncultured prokaryote. Its description in RNAcentral is "partial 16S ribosomal RNA". It matches the Rfam family "Bacterial small subunit ribosomal RNA", at positions 506 to 776 of the family's 1533-position model. The record is from RNAcentral.
UGCCAGCCGCGCGGUAAUACGGAGGGGGCUAGCGUUGUUCGGAAUUACUGGGCGUAAAGCGCACGUAGGCGGACCAGAAAGUUGGGGGUGAAAUCCCGGGGCUCAACCUCGGAACUGCCUUCAAAACUAUUGGUCUUGAGUUCGAGAGAGGUGAGUGGAAUUCCGAGUGUAGAGGUGAAAUUCGUAGAUAUUCGGAGGAACACCAGUGGCGAAGGCGGCUCACUGGCUCGAUACUGACGCUGAGGUGCGAAAGCGUGGGGAGCAAACAGG